This 497-nucleotide ribosomal RNA is filed under the name uncultured bacterium. RNAcentral describes it as "partial 16S ribosomal RNA". It matches the Rfam family "Bacterial small subunit ribosomal RNA", at positions 28 to 507 of the family's 1533-position model. The record is from RNAcentral.
GAUGAACGCUGGCGGCGUGCCUAAUACAUGCAAGUCGAGCGAACGGACGAGAAGCUUGCUUCUCUGAUGUUAGCGGCGGACGGGUGAGUAACACGUGGAUAACCUACCUAUAAGACUGGGAUAACGUCGGGAAACCGGAGCUAAUACCGGAUAAUAUUUUGAACCGCAUGGUUCAAAAGUGAAAGACGGUCUUGCUGUCACUUAUAGAUGGAUCCGCGCUGCAUUAGCUAGUUGGUAAGGUAACGGCUUACCAAGGCAACGAUGCGUAGCCGACCUGAGAGGGUGAUCGGCCACACUGGAACUGAGACACGGUCCAGACUCCUACGGGAGGCAGCAGUAGGGAAUCUUCCGCAAUGGGCGAAAGCCUGACGGAGCAACGCCGCGUGAGUGAUGAAGGUCUUCGGAUCGUAAAACUCUGUUAUUAGGGAAGAACAUAUGUGUAAGUAACUGUGCACAUCUUGACGGUACCUAAUCAGAAAGCCACGGCUAACUACGUG